This 450-nucleotide ribosomal RNA is filed under the name uncultured bacterium. RNAcentral's name for it is "bacterial SSU rRNA". It matches the Rfam family "Bacterial small subunit ribosomal RNA", at positions 354 to 796 of the family's 1533-position model. The record is from RNAcentral.
GUGGGGAAUUUUGGACAAUGGGCGCAAGCCUGAUCCAGCCAUUCCGCGUGCAGGAUGAAGGCCUUCGGGUUGUAAACUGCUUUUGUACGGAACGAAAAGCCUCUGGUUAAUACCCGGGGGUCAUGACGGUACCGUAAGAAUAAGCACCGGCUAACUACGUGCCAGCAGCCGCGGUAAUACGUAGGGUGCGAGCGUUAAUCGGAAUUACUGGGCGUAAAGCGUGCGCAGGCGGUGAUGUAAGACAGUUGUGAAAUCCCCGGGCGCAACCUGGGAACUGCAUCUGUGACUGCAUUGCUGGAGUGCGGCAGAGGGGGAUGGAAUUCCGCGUGUAGCAGUGAAAUGCGUAGAUAUGCGGAGGAACACCGAUGGCGAAGGCAAUCCCCUGGGCCUGUACUGACGCUCAUGCACGAAAGCGUGGGGAGCAAACAGGAUUAGAUACCCGGGUAGUCC